Papaver somniferum (opium poppy) is the source of this 726-nucleotide long non-coding RNA. RefSeq lists it as uncharacterized. NCBI's taxonomy places the organism in Eukaryota, Viridiplantae, Streptophyta, Magnoliopsida, Ranunculales, Papaveraceae. The transcript is spliced from 4 exons. The record is from RefSeq and is a predicted model, not a curated record.
UCUUUAUCCUUUCAUUAUAUCAACAUCUAUCGUCUUGGUUUUUCCUCUGUAAGUUUAAUGGAGAUUGAGUCUGUUCAUUGGCUUACUCUCUCACCUCUUUCAUUAUAUCGACCUCCAUCGUCUUCUUCUGCAAUAUCUCCAAAUACGUAAGGAAGAGUAAAAAUCAACACCCUCAAGCAAAUAAUCGAUUUCAAUGGGAUUCACCAAAAGAAGAAGAAGUGUCAACUUAUUUACCAGCAAAAGGUAUUGUAGGGUUGGAAUGCAAAGAAAUUUUUAGUUCAAGCUGGAAAAGAUUCAGGUGUUGUUCUUGCUGCUACUAAGACUAACUAACAGAAGAACCCUCCAAGAGUGGUGCACAGAACUGUCAUGAAGAAGGAAUUCAGUAGAAUGGCCAAGGCUGUUGCCAACUAGGAGCAACUUGUAACCGCCGAGUCUGUUGGGAGGACGUGUUUUGUCGCUCGCGUCUUGAUAGUGGUGGGGCUUUGCAAGAAGAAGUUUUGAUCGCAAGUUUUAUAUCUUUUGCAUCACUAUAAUGUAUUAUUUUCCUAUAUUUUCUCUUGGAAAUGGACAUGUAUUCGUAUUUUUAAAGUUAAUUGAAGUUUAAACUAUGUCGUGUGUGUGGCGUCGUGCGAAGCGUAGUGUGGGCUUCUUCCUGAGGAGGUGGAAAGCCUUAUUUUCCUACUUUCCUCUGCUUUUCAUUUCCGAGGGGAGUCCCUAAUUUUAUCA